This 515-nucleotide ribosomal RNA is filed under the name uncultured bacterium. RNAcentral's name for it is "partial 16S ribosomal RNA". It matches the Rfam family "Bacterial small subunit ribosomal RNA", at positions 28 to 523 of the family's 1533-position model. The record is from RNAcentral.
GAUGAACGCUGGCGGCGUGCCUAAUACAUGCAAGUCGAGCGAAUGGAUUAAGAGCUUGCUCUUAUGAAGUUAGCGGCGGACGGGUGAGUAACACGUGGGUAACCUGCCCAUAAGACUGGGAUAACUCCGGGAAACCGGGGCUAAUACCGGAUAACAUUUUGAACCGCAUGGUUCGAAAUUGAAAGGCGGCUUCGGCUGUCACUUAUGGAUGGACCCGCGUCGCAUUAGCUAGUUGGUGAGGUAACGGCUCCCCAAGGGAACGAUGCGUAGCCGAACUGAGAGGGUGAUCGGCCACACUAGGACUGAGACACGGCCCAGACUCCUACGGGAGGCAGCAGUAGGGAAUCUUCCGCAAUGGACGAAAGUCUGACGGAGCAACGCCGCGUGAGUGAUGAAGGCUUUCGGGUCGUAAAACUCUGUUGUUAGGGAAGAACAAGUGCUAGUUGAAUAAGCCGGCACCUUGACGGUACCUAACCAGAAAGCCACGGCUAACUACGUGCCAGCCGCCGCGGUAA